UGGAUUCACAGCCCUAGAGUCCUUUAUUUAUCCCUGGAAUAAGUACAGCAUGGAUAGCAGCAAUGCAAGCUUUCCCCACAUUAUGUGACUCAGCCCUGAACUCAUAGGAAUGAGAGGGGAGCUUAGUUUCCAUGAGUUCAGCUCUUGGCCUCU
Chrysemys picta bellii (western painted turtle) is the source of this 153-nucleotide unclassified non-coding RNA. The record is from Ensembl. Lineage: Eukaryota; Metazoa; Chordata; Testudines; Emydidae.